Non-coding RNA from Podarcis lilfordi (Lilford's wall lizard), 74 nucleotides. The record is from the annotation of a GenBank genome assembly. Lineage: Eukaryota; Metazoa; Chordata; Lepidosauria; Squamata; Lacertidae.
GUCAGUAUAGCUCAGUCGGUAGAGCAUGAGACUCUUAAUCUCGGGGUUCGUGAGUUUGAGGCCCAUAUUGGGCA